AUUGAACGCUGGCGGCAUGCCUUACACAUGCAAGUCGAACGGUAACAGGUUAAGCUGACGAGUGGCGAACGGGUGAGUAAUAUAUCGGAACGUGCCCAGUCGUGGGGGAUAACUGCUCGAAAGAGCAGCUAAUACCGCAUACGACCUGAGGGUGAAAGCGGGGGAUCGCAAGACCUCGCGCGAUUGGAGCGGCCGAUAUCAGAUUAGGUAGUUGGUGGGGUAAAAGCCUACCAAGCCAACGAUCUGUAGCUGGUCUGAGAGGACGACCAGCCACACUGGGACUGAGACACGGCCCAGACUCCUACGGGAGGCAGCAGUGGGGAAUUUUGGACAAUGGACGCAAGUCUGAUCCAGCCAUGCCGCGUGCGGGAAGAAGGCCUUCGGGUUGUAAACCGCUUUUGUCAGGGAAGAAAAGGUUCUGGUUAAUACCUGGGACUCAUGACGGUACCUGAAGAAUAAGCACCGGCUAACUACGUGCCAGCCGCCGCCGUAA
This 493-nucleotide ribosomal RNA is filed under the name uncultured bacterium. Its description in RNAcentral is "partial 16S ribosomal RNA". It matches the Rfam family "Bacterial small subunit ribosomal RNA", at positions 30 to 523 of the family's 1533-position model. The record is from RNAcentral.